AACGACGAGCUGUUCAAAACAAAAAAAAAGAAACAGCUGUAAAUCUUAGUAUGAUGGCAGAUUCUAUGUAUGAUCAGGCUCCAGCACCUCUUGCUCGUACUCUUUCAACAGGCAGUAUUGACAGUGUUGUACCACCUCCUUUG
This 143-nucleotide non-coding RNA is filed under the name Pteridomonas danica. The record is from RNAcentral. Lineage: Eukaryota; Dictyochophyceae; Pedinellales.